GGUUCGGUAGUUCAGUUGGUUAGAAUACAUGCCUGUCACGCAUGGGGUCGCGGGUUCGAGAAUACAUGCCUGUCACGCAUGGGGUCGCGGGUUCGAGUCCCGUCCGGACCG
RNAcentral lists this transfer RNA (111 nucleotides) under Bacteroides thetaiotaomicron. RNAcentral describes it as "tRNA-Asp". It matches the Rfam family "tRNA". From Rfam's summary of the family: Transfer RNA (tRNA) molecules are approximately 80 nucleotides in length. Their secondary structure includes four short double-helical elements and three loops (D, anti-codon, and T loops). Lineage: Bacteria; Pseudomonadati; Bacteroidota; Bacteroidia; Bacteroidales; Bacteroidaceae. The record is from RNAcentral.